This is a long non-coding RNA of Phyllostomus discolor (pale spear-nosed bat), 2219 nucleotides long. RefSeq lists it as uncharacterized. Lineage: Eukaryota; Metazoa; Chordata; Mammalia; Chiroptera; Phyllostomidae. The record is from RefSeq and is a predicted model, not a curated record. The transcript has 2 exons.
ACAUAUUUUUAAAAAGACACUCCCUGAGAGUCCCCAGUUCAGAACUCUCCUGUUGGUUGAAAGUGCAUUCAAUGAUAGCAACCAGGUAAUUUUAUGUGCUAUCUGCUGUACACCGAGUGCUGUUGCCAGUACCAGGGAGAUGGCAGUAAGCGAGAGGGAAACCCGCCCCCACCCAUGGAGCCCACAUUCCCACCACCCGUCCUUACACUGACCCAUCCUUGGCAGCCUGAGGCCGGCCAUGACUCCCAGAUCAUUUUCUCUGUCCCUCAUCAGAGCCAGGAUUUCUGACAUGCCAUGGGGUUUACCUUCCUUUAACUUUCUGCUUCGUCCCUGGACCUUUACUCAUGGUUGAUACUGGGUCAAUUUUCACACUUUGAUGUCUAUAAUUUAAAAUUUAUGGAAGAACCAAAAUGAACGCCCUACCUCCCAAGGCGUCGGCGCCAUUCUCAAAGCACACAUACCACAAAGUAUAUGUCAUGUUUUGGGCACAGGUGAAAACAUGAGAAUAGGCUUGAGUUUCAGCGAAUGACAGUCAUUUAUUCCACCCAUAGGUAGUGAUGGAGUGUCAGGCACUAUUUUAGGUGUGUGGUUAGUCGCUUGGGAAAAAAUAGAUAAAAACGAUUGUCCCCAUGGAAUCGAUAGCAUGGUGACAAUGUUCUCCUCUGAAACUUGCACUGUUUCCUACCAGCCAUGUGGCAUGGGAGUUCUCAGGCACAGCGGAAACAGAGAGAGGGAGACUCGGGAGAAGAAAUGGAAUACCUGCUCUGUGGCCAACUCCGGCACGGCUGCCUGUCUACCAGCUUGAGACUCCAGAAUGAAAUAGGAAAGCCAAUAAAAGGAUGGAGGAAUCAAAAGGGAGGGAGUGUGGGAAGUGCAGCAGAUACUCUAACACUCCCCAUCCACUCAGAAGUUGGGGUGUGAAGUGAAAAAAACAAAAGAACAUCACUGUAUUAUGAUAGAAAUGUCUCUGACUCAUGGUGGCCAGCCCCCAGCUCCUCACUGGGUUCCUGUCGAGGGGAAGGCAUGCUAGAUGCCAAGAAAAAUACUGAGAACAUACAGGGGGGUAGCUGCCUUUGGAAUCCUGCUAUCUCAUCGCAGACCCGAUCACGAGCUGGCACAGGUUACAUCCACAUCACUCAUAAUGCACUGAUGUCAUCGUUAUAUGAACAGCUACUAAGUGGUACUCAAUUUCAGUGCCGUGGACCAUGGAAAUUCUGAGUGGCUAUGGUUGCUUCAGAAGAAGGAAAGGGAAGAAAUGCAAAAAUUCUACUUAAAGUUUUUGAGAUGUUCACAUUGAUACUGAUAAACUAAUAUUUGGGCCAUUUUUUUUUAGUUGUGGAUAAAUUGUACAUUUUGUCCCUCUGUCUCCCUAGUCCUGCUGGAAGAUCAUAAAAGUACCAGAAUUUCAGGCUGGAAGGACCUUUGGGGAAAACGUGGUCUAAUACUCUUCUCGAUUCAGGAACGCCUCUGCCUCUCUCCAGCUAGGUGGGAACUUGGCCUUCCAGCAAAACUCUGGUGCCAUGAAACUGAGGGCCUGCUGAGGCAGCCCCUUCUAUAGGCACAAAGCUUUCUUAGAAAAUUCUACCCCUCAUACUGAGCCAGCAUUUGCCUUACCAUAACCUCCAAGCAGCAGUACAAUGUUGCAUUCCCGAGACAAAGCAAACUAGAAUUUCAUUUAGUAACUGAGCUGCCAGGGAAGCUGCAGAUCUCUUCUUCCUGGGCAAGCUUCAGAGAGCCUGGGCUGGGGGAGUGCAGGGAGGUGGAGGGCUAACUCACCUCUCCUCACAGCUGGCCUCCGGGGCUCAUCUGUGAAAGGAACAGCACCUGCCACUGCCAUAUUUAGAAACGCUGUGUGUCAGCACCUCCAAAGGGCACAGACACAGUGAGUUAAUGCUCACCGCCAUCACUCUUCCCCAGACCUUCACACCCCACUCAUAAAAAAGGAACAAAGCGGAAAUCUGAUCCAUCACAAUCAAUGGAGGAAAAAACAGUUCAAUGCAGCUGGAUGUUGAUGCCCAAGGCAACCUUGAAGGGAAGCUGUUGAAGAUUCCCUGAAUCCCUGAAUGACUGCAUGGAGCAGAUCCUCUCCCACACUCCUGGUCUACGACUGAGAAUCACAACUGUGUUCAUGUAUAUUUAUCUGGUGAAUAGCAUUGUUAUGAUAGCUUUUACUUUCCACUUAUUUCUUUAUUCAUUCUUUAAUAAACACUUCUCAAACA